CAAUAGCGUAUAUUAAAGUUGUUGCAGUUAAAAAGCUCGUAGUUGGGUUUCUGGUAGGAGCGAUCGGUCUGGCGCUUAGCGCGAGUACUUGCAUCGUCUCCGGCCAUCCUUGGGGAGAGUCUGUCUGGCAUUAGGUUGUCGGGCAGAGGAUCCUCAUCGUUUACUGUGAAAAAAUUAGAGUGUUCAAAGCAGGCUUAUGCCGUUGAAUAUAUUAGCAUGGAAUAGUAAGAUAGGACUUUGGUACUAUUUUGUUGGUUUGCGCACCAAAGUAAUGAUUAAUAGGGACAGUUGGGGGUAUUCGUAUUCCGUUGUCAGAGGUGAAAUUCUUGGAUUUACGGAAGACGAACUACUGCGAAAGCAUUUACCAAGGAUGUUUNCAUUAA
Molecule: ribosomal RNA, 383 nt
Filed under: uncultured eukaryote
Lineage: Eukaryota
Description: partial 18S ribosomal RNA
Rfam family: Eukaryotic small subunit ribosomal RNA
Source: RNAcentral